GAUGAAGAACGUAGCGAAAUGCGAUAAGUAAUGCGAAUUGCAGAAUUUCCGUGAGUCAUCGAAUCUUUGAACGCACAUUGCGCCCUGUGGUAUUCCGCAGGGCAUGUCUGUUCGAGCGUCAUUUCAACCCUCAAGCUCUGCUUGGUGUUGGGCCCUGCCCGCUGCGGCCGGCCCUAAAGACAGUGGCGGUGCCGCCUGGCCCUGAGCGUAGUACAUCUCUCGCUCCAGUGCCCGGUGGUAGCCUGCCAGAACCCCAACUCUCGUGGUUGACCUCGGAUCAGGUAGGGAUACCCGCUGAACUUAAGCAUAUCAAUAAGCGGAGGA
RNAcentral lists this unclassified non-coding RNA (324 nucleotides) under soil metagenome. Its description in RNAcentral is "partial contains 5.8S ribosomal RNA, internal transcribed spacer 2, and large subunit ribosomal RNA". The stretch from base 1 to 121 matches the Rfam family "5.8S ribosomal RNA", at positions 35 to 154 of the family's 154-position model. The record is from RNAcentral.